AUCGGCGGUUCAUUAACGUUUCGGGAUAAACGGUGAAUCCGCAGAGUGGACCAGCUGGCAACAAAGACAGGAUGCAUGCUGCAAGAUGCUGCAGUCACAGGAGCUACUGGCCUGCCUGGUUAAACACACAUGCAUGUUCCAGUGCAGUGAACGGGGGAGAAACAUGAGACUUCCAGAAGAUGAAAGACAGAUGCUUUCCACUUCUGUUUACAGACACCUUUCCCAGAAAAGACAAGAACAUGAAUAGAAGAUGAGCUAAAACAGAAUUAAAAAAAAACAACAGAAACAGAAAGACAGGAAAGAGUUCGGGCUCUUUGUAGUUACACAAAAGCCAGCGUCACCACUGUAUCCUAUAUAUUUACAAGUUUAAGACAAGUCUGCUUUUUUUGGGUCUGUAUUGUAUUGUGUUGACACAUAACUCGAUAAUUCACAGGCUUGAUGAACCUAUGUCUUGUGA
Molecule: long non-coding RNA, 457 nt
Organism: Thunnus maccoyii (southern bluefin tuna)
Lineage: Eukaryota; Metazoa; Chordata; Actinopteri; Scombriformes; Scombridae
Exons: 3
Source: RefSeq, a predicted model, not a curated record